This 140-nucleotide small RNA is filed under the name uncultured Selenomonas sp. Its description in RNAcentral is "ydaO/yuaA leader". It matches the Rfam family "c-di-AMP riboswitch aptamer (ydaO/yuaA leader)". From Rfam's summary of the family: This family represents a conserved RNA structure found upstream of the ydaO and yuaA genes in Bacillus subtilis and related genes in other bacteria. The record is from RNAcentral. Lineage: Bacteria; Bacillati; Bacillota; Negativicutes; Selenomonadales; Selenomonadaceae.
GAACAAGCCGAAUCCAACCCAGGAGCGGGGGAACCAAUUUCUUGGGGCGAACGUCAGGCUCACGGCAAGCGUGAAAUUGACGCGGGUGGUCUUCUCUACCCGAGCCCGGCAGCUAACCUCGUAGGCGAAUAGAGAGAGGA